GGGUUGUGAGGUUAAGCGACUAAGCGUACACGGUGGAUGCCCUGGCAGUCAGAGGCGAUGAAGGACGUGCUAAUCUGCGAUAAGCGUCGGUAAGGUGAUAUGAACCGUUAUAACCGGCGAUUUCCGAAUGGGGAAACCCAGUGUGUUUCGACACACUAUCAUUAACUGAAUCCAUAGGUUAAUGAGGCGAACCGGGGGAACUGAAACAUCUAAGUACCCCGAGGAAAAGAAAUCAACCGAGAUUCCCCCAGUAGCGGCGAGCGAACGGGGAGCAGCCCAGAGCCUGAAUCAGUGUGUGUGUUAGUGGAAGCGUCUGGAAAGGCGCGCGAUACAGGGUGACAGCCCCGUACACAAAAAUGCACAUGCUGUGAGCUCGAUGAGUAGGGCGGGACACGUGGUAUCCUGUCUGAAUAUGGGGGGACCAUCCUCCAAGGCUAAAUACUCCUGACUGACCGAUAGUGAACCAGUACCGUGAGGGAAAGGCGAAAAGAACCCCGGCGAGGGGAGUGAAAAAGAACCUGAAACCGUGUACGUACAAGCAGUGGGAGCACGCUUAGGCGUGUGACUGCGUACCUUUUGUAUAAUGGGUCAGCGACUUAUAUUCUGUAGCAAGGUUAACCGAAUAGGGGAGCCGAAGGGAAACCGAGUCUUAACUGGGCGUUAAGUUGCAGGGUAUAGACCCGAAACCCGGUGAUCUAGCCAUGGGCAGGUUGAAGGUUGGGUAACACUAACUGGAGGACCGAACCGACUAAUGUUGAAAAAUUAGCGGAUGACUUGUGGCUGGGGGUGAAAGGCCAAUCAAACCGGGAGAUAGCUGGUUCUCCCCGAAAGCUAUUUAGGUAGCGCCUCGUGAAUUCAUCUCCGGGGGUAGAGCACUGUUUCGGCAAGGGGGUCAUCCCGACUUACCAACCCGAUGCAAACUGCGAAUACCGGAGAAUGUUAUCACGGGAGACACACGGCGGGUGCUAACGUCCGUCGUGAAGAGGGAAACAACCCAGACCGCCAGCUAAGGUCCCAAAGUCAUGGUUAAGUGGGAAACGAUGUGGGAAGGCCCAGACAGCCAGGAUGUUGGCUUAGAAGCAGCCAUCAUUUAAAGAAAGCGUAAUAGCUCACUGGUCGAGUCGGCCUGCGCGGAAGAUGUAACGGGGCUAAACCAUGCACCGAAGCUGCGGCAGCGACGCUGAUGCGUUGUUGGGUAGGGGAGCGUUCUGUAAGCCUGCGAAGGUGUGCUGUGAGGCAUGCUGGAGGUAUCAGAAGUGCGAAUGCUGACAUAAGUAACGAUAAAGCGGGUGAAAAGCCCGCUCGCCGGAAGACCAAGGGUUCCUGUCCAACGUUAAUCGGGGCAGGGUGAGUCGACCCCUAAGGCGAGGCCGAAAGGCGUAGUCGAUGGGAAACAGGUUAAUAUUCCUGUACUUGGUGUUACUGCGAAGGGGGGACGGAGAAGGCUAUGUUGGCCGGGCGACGGUUGUCCCGGUUUAAGCGUGUAGGCUGGUUUUCCAGGCAAAUCCGGAAAAUCAAGGCUGAGGCGUGAUGACGAGGCACUACGGUGCUGAAGCAACAAAUGCCCUGCUUCCAGGAAAAGCCUCUAAGCAUCAGGUAACAUCAAAUCGUACCCCAAACCGACACAGGUGGUCAGGUAGAGAAUACCAAGGCGCUUGAGAGAACUCGGGUGAAGGAACUAGGCAAAAUGGUGCCGUAACUUCGGGAGAAGGCACGCUGAUAUGUAGGUGAAGUCCCUUGCGGAUGGAGCUGAAAUCAGUCGAAGAUACCAGCUGGCUGCAACUGUUUAUUAAAAACACAGCACUGUGCAAACACGAAAGUGGACGUAUACGGUGUGACGCCUGCCCGGUGCCGGAAGGUUAAUUGAUGGGGUCAGCGCAAGCGAAGCUCUUGAUCGAAGCCCCGGUAAACGGCGGCCGUAACUAUAACGGUCCUAAGGUAGCGAAAUUCCUUGUCGGGUAAGUUCCGACCUGCACGAAUGGCGUAAUGAUGGCCAGGCUGUCUCCACCCGAGACUCAGUGAAAUUGAACUCGCUGUGAAGAUGCAGUGUACCCGCGGCAAGACGGAAAGACCCCGUGAACCUUUACUAUAGCUUGACACUGAACAUUGAGCCUUGAUGUGUAGGAUAGGUGGGAGGCUUUGAAGUGUGGACGCCAGUCUGCAUGGAGCCGACCUUGAAAUACCACCCUUUAAUGUUUGAUGUUCUAACGUUGACCCGUAAUCCGGGUUGCGGACAGUGUCUGGUGGGUAGUUUGACUGGGGCGGUCUCCUCCUAAAGAGUAACGGAGGAGCACGAAGGUUGGCUAAUCCUGGUCGGACAUCAGGAGGUUAGUGCAAUGGCAUAAGCCAGCUUGACUGCGAGCGUGACGGCGCGAGCAGGUGCGAAAGCAGGUCAUAGUGAUCCGGUGGUUCUGAAUGGAAGGGCCAUCGCUCAACGGAUAAAAGGUACUCCGGGGAUAACAGGCUGAUACCGCCCAAGAGUUCAUAUCGACGGCGGUGUUUGGCACCUCGAUGUCGGCUCAUCACAUCCUGGGGCUGAAGUAGGUCCCAAGGGUAUGGCUGUUCGCCAUUUAAAGUGGUACGCGAGCUGGGUUUAGAACGUCGUGAGACAGUUCGGUCCCUAUCUGCCGUGGGCGCUGGAGAACUGAGGGGGGCUGCUCCUAGUACGAGAGGACCGGAGUGGACGCAUCACUGGUGUUCGGGUUGUCAUGCCAAUGGCACUGCCCGGUAGCUAAAUGCGGAAGAGAUAAGUGCUGAAAGCAUCUAAGCACGAAACUUGCCCCGAGAUGAGUUCUCCCUGACUCCUUGAGAGUCCUGAAGGAACGUUGAAGACGACGACGUUGAUAGGCCGGGUGUGUAAGCGCAGCGAUGCGUUGAGCUAACCGGUACUAAUGAACCGUGAGGCUUAACCUUACAACGCCGAAGCUGUU
RNAcentral lists this ribosomal RNA (2930 nucleotides) under Escherichia coli. Its description in RNAcentral is "bacterial LSU rRNA". It matches the Rfam family "Bacterial large subunit ribosomal RNA". Lineage: Bacteria; Pseudomonadati; Pseudomonadota; Gammaproteobacteria; Enterobacterales; Enterobacteriaceae. The record is from RNAcentral.